AUUGAACGCUGGCGGCAUGCUUUACACAUGCAAGUCGAACGCGGGUGAGGGGCAACUCUCACCUGAGUGGCGAACGGGUGAGUAAUACAUCGGAACGUGCCCCGUAGUGGGGGAUAGCUCGGCGAAAGCCGGAUUAAUACCGCAUACGAUCUACGGAUGAAAGCAGGGGACCCGCAAGGGCCUUGCGCUAUGGGAGCGGCCGAUGUCCGAUUAGCUUGUUGGUGAGGUAAAGGCUCACCAAGGCAACGAUCGGUAGCUGGUCUGAGAGGAUGAUCAGCCACACUGGGACUGAGACACGGCCCAGACUCCUACGGGAGGCAGCAGUGGGGAAUUUUGGACAAUGGGGGCAACCCUGAUCCAGCCAUGCCGCGUGAGUGAAGAAGGCCUUCGGGUUGUAAAGCUCUUUUGGCCGGAAAGAAAAGGCCGCGGAUAACACCUGCGGUCCUUGACGGUACCGGCAGAAUAAGCACCGGCCAACUACGUGCCAGCAGCCGCGGUAAUACGUAGGGUGCGAGCGUUAAUCGGAAUUACUGGGCGUAAAGCGUGCGUAGGCGGUCCCGCAAGUCCGCUGUGAAAGCCCCGGGCUUAACCUGGGAAUUGCAGUGGAAACUAUGGGACUUGAAUCCGGCAGAGGGGGGUGGAAUGCCACGUGUAGCAGUGAAAUGCGUAGAGAUGUGGCGGAACACCGAUGGCGAAGGCAGCCCCCUGGGCCGAGAUUGACGCUCAGGCACGAAAGCGUGGGGAGCAAACAGGAUUAGAUACCCUGGUAGUCCACGCCCUAAACGAUGACAACUAGGUGUUGGGGAAGCGAUUCUCUAGUACCGCAGCUAACGCGUGAAGUUGUCCGCCUGGGGAGUACGGUCGCAAGAUUA
This 872-nucleotide ribosomal RNA is filed under the name uncultured bacterium. Its description in RNAcentral is "bacterial SSU rRNA". It matches the Rfam family "Bacterial small subunit ribosomal RNA", at positions 28 to 896 of the family's 1533-position model. The record is from RNAcentral.